GACGAACGCUGGCGGCGUGCUUAACACAUGCAAGUCGAGCGGGGUUUAUCGGAUUAGCUUGCUAAACUGAUAAACCUAGCGGCGGACGGGUGAGUAACGCGUGAGCAAUCUGCCUCAUACAGGGGGAUAACAGGUGGAAACACCUGCUAAUACCGCAUAAGACUCCACUACCGCAUGGUAGAGAAGUCAAAGGGAUUACCGGUAUGAGAUGAGCUCGCGUCCCAUUAGCUAGUUGGUAGGGUAAAGGCCUACCAAGGCGACGAUGGGUAGCCGACCUGAGAGGGUGAUCGGCCACACUGGGACUGAGACACGGCCCAGACUCCUACGGGAGGCAGCAGUGGGGAAUAUUGCACAAUGGAGGGAACUCUGAUGCAGCAACGCCGCGUGAGUGAAGAAGGUUUUCGGAUCGUAAAACUCUGUCAUUGGGGAAGAAUAAAUGACGGUACCCAAUGAGGAAGCCCCGGCUAACUACGUGCCAGCAGCCGCGGUAAUACGUAGGGGGCGAGCGGUUGUCCGGAAUUACUGGGCCGUAAAGGGUACGUAGGCGGCUAUAUAAGUCAGGUGUGAAAUACCAGUGCUUACACUGGAAUUGCAUUUGAACUG
Molecule: ribosomal RNA, 603 nt
Filed under: uncultured bacterium
Lineage: Bacteria
Description: bacterial SSU rRNA
Rfam family: Bacterial small subunit ribosomal RNA
Source: RNAcentral